ACUGACGGUACCAUUAGAAUAAGCACCGGCUAACUCCGUGCCAGCAGCCGCGGUAAUACGGAGGGUGCAAGCGUUAUCCGGAUUCACUGGGUUUAAAGGGAGCGUAGGAGGGCAGGUAAGUCAGUGGUGAAAUCUCCGGGCUUAACUCGGAAACUGCCGUUGAUACUAUCUGUCUUGAAUACCGUGGAGAUGAGCGGAAUAUGUCAUGUAGCGGUGAAAUGCUUAGAGAUGACAUAGAACACCAAUUGCGAAGGCAGCUCGUUACACGAAUAUUGACUCUGAGGCUCGAAAGCGUGGGGAUCAAACAGGAUUAGAUACCCUGGUAGUCCACGCCCUAAACUAUGGAUACUCGACAUACGCGAUACACUGUGUGUGUCUGAGCGAAAGCAUUAAGUAUCCCACCUGGGAAGUACGACCGCAAGGUUGAAACUC
RNAcentral lists this ribosomal RNA (432 nucleotides) under uncultured Flavobacterium sp. RNAcentral's name for it is "bacterial SSU rRNA". It matches the Rfam family "Bacterial small subunit ribosomal RNA", at positions 468 to 902 of the family's 1533-position model. Lineage: Bacteria; Pseudomonadati; Bacteroidota; Flavobacteriia; Flavobacteriales; Flavobacteriaceae. The record is from RNAcentral.